Molecule: non-coding RNA, 91 nt
Organism: Hymenopellis radicata
Lineage: Eukaryota; Fungi; Basidiomycota; Agaricomycetes; Agaricales; Physalacriaceae
Source: the annotation of a GenBank genome assembly
GCAUUAAUGGGGUAGUGGUAACCUGGGUCGUUGCCAUAUAAAAGAAUGCGUGCUCUUCGACCCGCCGGGGGUUCGAUUCCCCCUUAAUGCA